This 827-nucleotide long non-coding RNA is filed under the name Marmota monax (woodchuck). Lineage: Eukaryota; Metazoa; Chordata; Mammalia; Rodentia; Sciuridae. The record is from RNAcentral.
AUUUUGACAUACUGUAUAUACAUGGAGUAUAACUUAUUCUAAUUAGGAUCCCAUUCUUGUGGUGUACAAGGAUGUGGAUAUUACUGGUGAUGUUUUCAUACAUGAACAUAAGAAAGUUAGUCUUAACUAUCUUACAGCAUAAAGAUAUAAUUUUUUGUUCUCAUUUCUAAAAGUAUUACUGUUUUUCAUUUCACCUUUAUAUCUACAAUUCACCAUUGACUUUGAGUAUGGUAUGUCAUAAAAGUCAAAAUUAAUUUUUUUCAAGAGUUAUAUAUUCAAUAUUCAUAUGACUAUCAGUCGACACACUAGUAUUUUUUUAAAAUCCUUCAUUGUAAGUGAAAUGACCAUAAAUGUGUAGUUAGCUUCUGGACACUCCAUUUUGUUCUAAUGAUUUUUGUCUUUCUUUGGCCAGUCCUACAUUCUAUUAAUUAUUGCAGAUUUAUGGAAGGUCUUCAUAUCUGGUUGUACAAGGUCUCCAGUGUUCUUUUCCUUUUCAAGAUAAUUUUAGAUAUUCUUUGUCCUUUGCAUUGCCAAAUAAAAUUUAAAAUAAGCUCAUUAAGUUUUAACAAAAACAAAACAAAACAAAAUUAAGCUUUGAAUAUUUCAUUUGGAUUUACUGAAUCUACUAAUCAAUAGGGGGAAUUUACUUCUUAUAAAGUUAAAAUUUUAAACCCAUGAGCAUUUUGAUAUGUUGAAUUUCUUCAUAAUUGAGUUCACAACCCUUUUUUUGAGGUCCUCUUCAAUUUUUUCUUAAUCAUGUUUUGUAAUUUUCAAUGGACAGUCAUGUCCAUCUUAUUAGGUACAGUUUUAUGUAUUUAAUGUUUUCU